ACUAACCUGAUCGGUGCGCUACGUAUUUUAAUUCAACCGACAAAUUUUAUACGGGAAUUGACCGUUUUUCCUUGCCGAGACAAUGCCACCUUCGAGUGGACUGUCGGAGUGGGAAAUAGUUUACCCACCUGAACAUGGCGGGUGUGAAUUAUGAUACACGGACGGCCGAUCGGGGCCCAA
This 180-nucleotide non-coding RNA is filed under the name Ezakiella coagulans. RNAcentral's name for it is "6S RNA". It matches the Rfam family "6S / SsrS RNA". From Rfam's summary of the family: E. coli 6S RNA was the first non coding RNA to be sequenced, but its function was unknown until recently. It consists of 184 nucleotides that fold into an extended hairpin structure with a large single-stranded internal bulge. The 6S RNA specifically associates with RNA polymerase holoenzyme containing the sigma70 specificity factor. The record is from RNAcentral. Lineage: Bacteria; Bacillati; Bacillota; Tissierellia.